CAAGUCGAACGAGAAAGUGGAGCAAUCCAUGAGUACAGUGGCGUACGGGUGAGUAACACGUGGGUAAUCUACCUCUUAGUGGGGAAUAACCGAGGGAAACCUUGGCUAAUACCGCAUAAGCCUGAGAAGGGAAAGCAGCAAUGCGCUGAGAGAGGAGCCUGCGGCUGAUUAGCUAGUUGGUGGGGUAAGAGCCUACCAAGGCAGAGAUCGGUAGCCGGCCUGAGAGGGCACACGGCCACACUGGCACUGAAACACGGGCCAGACUCCUACGGGAGGCAGCAGUGGGGAAUCUUGCACAAUGGGGGAAACCCUGAUGCAGCGACGCCGCGUGAGCGAUGAAGCCCUUCGGGGUGUAAAGCUCUUUCGUCAGGGACGAUAAUGACGGUACCUGGAGAAGCAGCUGCGGCUAACUACGUGCCAGCAGCCGCGGUAAUACGUAGGCAGCAAGCGUUGUUCGGAGUUACUGGGCGUAAAGGGUGUGUAGGCGGUUCUUUAAGUUUGGUGUGAAAUCUCCCGGCUCAACUGGGAGGGUGCGCCGAAUACUGAGGGACUAGAGUACGGGAGAGGAAAGUGGAAUUCCUGGUGUAGCGGUGAAAUGCGUAGAUAUCAGGAGGAACACCGGUGGUGUAGACGGCUUUCUGGACCGACACUGACGCUGAGACACNAAAGCGUGGGUAGCAAACAGGAUUAGAUACCCUGGUAGUCCACGCCCUAAACGAUGCAUAUUUGGUGUGGGCAGUUCAUUCUGUCCGUGCCGGAGCUAACGCGUUAAAUAUGCCGCCUGGGGAGUACAGUCGCAAGGCUGAAACUCAAAGGAAUUGACGGGGGCCCGCACAAGCGGUGGAGCAUGUGGUUCAAUUC
This 861-nucleotide ribosomal RNA is filed under the name uncultured Bacillota bacterium. Its description in RNAcentral is "bacterial SSU rRNA". It matches the Rfam family "Bacterial small subunit ribosomal RNA", at positions 58 to 952 of the family's 1533-position model. The record is from RNAcentral. Lineage: Bacteria; Bacillati; Bacillota.